ACCUGUGGGAAAGGUCCAACCUCACAUGUCCUGUAUAUAAUAAAGGGGAUAUAUGUGGUCAGACCUAUCCCACAGGC
RNAcentral lists this microRNA precursor (77 nucleotides) under Chelonia mydas (Green sea turtle). RNAcentral's name for it is "mir-2188 microRNA precursor family". It matches the Rfam family "mir-2188 microRNA precursor family". The record is from Rfam by way of RNAcentral. RNAcentral also lists the same sequence under 1 other name. Lineage: Eukaryota; Metazoa; Chordata; Testudines; Cheloniidae.